RNAcentral lists this non-coding RNA (1058 nucleotides) under Echinococcus granulosus. Its description in RNAcentral is "Bacterial large subunit ribosomal RNA". It matches the Rfam family "Bacterial large subunit ribosomal RNA", at positions 566 to 2698 of the family's 2925-position model. Lineage: Eukaryota; Metazoa; Platyhelminthes; Cestoda; Cyclophyllidea; Taeniidae. The record is from Rfam by way of RNAcentral.
GUUUUAAUAAAACCAUUAACAGGUAGGGUUGCUUACCUUUUGCAUAAUGAAGCUACAAGUUUUAUCUUUAGGCGUAUCCCCGAAGGUGAGAGAUCAGGGAAAAAUUUGUUGAAGAACUAAUUUGUAGUGGUGAAAAACUCCUUUAAAAAAUUUUUUCUAGAGGUGAAAUGCCAUCACGAGCUUAUCAAGGAUAUCUGGGUUUAUAGCUAAGAUUAUAAAGUAAAAUAAAUAUUCGGGAUAAGCUGGGUAUUAAAAAAUAAACAAUUAUUUCUUUUUUAAAGUAAGCUUAAAAGCAGCUACCUGGAGUGAGGUCUUUACCGGCUAAAUAUCUACUGGUGGGGUAAAAAUUCCAGGAUAGGCUUUAAUUUUCAUAAAAUAGUUAGUGUUACUUUUGAUGUAAAAAAAUGAGUAUUUUUAAAUUUUUAGUUAAAAUAAAAAAGGUCUAGGAAGAACUCGGCAAAAAGGAUUAGGACUGUUUAUUAAAAACAUAGCGUAGAGAGGCUAAUAAUUCUACGUCAAGCGCUGCCCGGUGCUGUAAUGGUAAACGGCGGCCUUAGCGUGAGGGUCUUAAGGUAGCAUAAUAAUUCGCUCUCUUAAUUGGAGGCAGGUAUGAACGGUUUUUCAUAGUUUAGCUUUCUUCUUCAUGAGGUUGAAGUUGGCGUCCUAGUGAAGAUACUUGAAUUUUUUAGGAAGACAAAAAGACCCUAGAAGCUCUGACUAACGUCUUGGCUGGGAGAGUUCCUGAGAAAUAUCAGAAGUCCUUUAUCGGCUUAAGUUGACUCUUAUAUGAGGGGAGGGAGAUCCCUAUUACAAGGAAUUUUUGGGAAACAGAAGAAAAGUUACUCUAGGGGUAACAGGCUAAUCCAGCUUGAGAGUUCAUAUCGGCAGCUGGGCUUAGUACCUCGAUGUUGGCUUUAGUGGGCUCAAUUGUGCAGCAGCAAUUAGAGCAGGUCUGUUCGACCUUUAAAAACUACCUUGAGCUGAGUUUAGAACGUAGAAAUACAGUUCGGUUCCUAUCUCCUUAGCUUAUUACCCCUUUUGUACGAAAGGACUUAGGG